Molecule: ribosomal RNA, 468 nt
Filed under: uncultured bacterium
Lineage: Bacteria
Description: partial 16S ribosomal RNA
Rfam family: Bacterial small subunit ribosomal RNA
Source: RNAcentral
GACGAACGCUGGCGGCGUGCUUAACACAUGCAAGUCGAACGGAAAGGCCCUGCUUUUGUGGGGUGCUCGAGUGGCGAACGGGUGAGUAACACGUGAGUAACCUGCCCUUGACUUUGGGAUAACUUCAGGAAACUGGGGCUAAUACCGGAUAGGAGCUCCUGCUGCAUGGUGGGGGUUGGAAAGUUUCGGCGGUUGGGGAUGGACUCGCGGCUUAUCAGCUUGUUGGUGGUGUAGUGGCUUACCAAGGCUUUGACGGGUAGCCGGCCUGAGAGGGUGACCGGCCACAUUGGGACUGAGAUACGGCCCAGACUCCUACGGGAGGCGGCAGUGGGGAAUAUUGCACAAUGGGCGGAAGCCUGAUGCAGCAACGCCGCGUGCGGGAUGACGGCCUUCGGGUUGUAAACCGCUUUCGCCUGUGACGAAGCGUGAGUGACGGUAAUGGGUAAAGAAGCACCGGCUAACUACGUG